CCACGCCGUAAACGUUGGGCGCUAGGUGUGGGUCCCAUUCCACGGGGUCCGUGCCGCAGCUAACGCAUUAAGCGCCCCGCCUGGGGAGUACGGCCGCAAGGCUAAAACUCAAAGGAAUUGACGGGGGCCCGCACAAGCGGCGGAGCAUGCGGAUUAAUUCGAUGCAACGCGAAGAACCUUACCAAGGCUUGACAUACACCGGACGACUGCAGAGAUGUGGUUUCCCUUUGUGGCUGGUGUACAGGUGGUGCAUGGUUGUCGUCAGCUCGUGUCGUGAGAUGUUGGGUUAAGUCCCGCAACGAGCGCAACCCUCGUUCCAUGUUGCCAGCAACACCUUCGGGUGGUUGGGGACUCAUGGGAGACUGCCGGGGUCAACUCGGAGGAAGGUGGGGAUGACGUCAAAUCAUCAUGCCCCUUACGUCUUGGGCUUCACGCAUGCUACAAUGGCCGGUACAAAGGGCUGCGAUCCCGUGAGGGGGAGCGAAUCCCAGAAAGCCGGUCUCAGUUCGGAUUGGGGUCUGCAACUCGACCCCAUGAAGUCGGAGUCGCUAGUAAUCGCAGAUCAGCAA
This 569-nucleotide ribosomal RNA is filed under the name Serinicoccus sp. RNAcentral describes it as "bacterial SSU rRNA". It matches the Rfam family "Bacterial small subunit ribosomal RNA", at positions 795 to 1355 of the family's 1533-position model. The record is from RNAcentral. Lineage: Bacteria; Bacillati; Actinomycetota; Actinomycetes; Micrococcales; Ornithinimicrobiaceae.